ACACGUAAGGGGCAAGCGUUGUUCGGAAUUAUUGGGCGUAAAGGGCGCGAAGGCGGUUUUACAAGUCUGGUGUGAAAGAUCUCAGCUUAACUGAGGGACCGCGCUGGAAACUGUAAGACUAGAAUCUAGGAGGGGAAGCUGGAAUUCCUGGUGUAGGGGUGAAAUCUGUAGAUAUCAGGAAGAACACCGGUGGCGAAGGCGAGCUUCUGGCCAUAGAUUGACGCUGAGGCGCGAAAGCGUGGGGAGCGAACAGGAUUAGAUACCCUAGUAGUCC
Molecule: ribosomal RNA, 274 nt
Filed under: uncultured bacterium
Lineage: Bacteria
Description: partial 16S ribosomal RNA
Rfam family: Bacterial small subunit ribosomal RNA
Source: RNAcentral